UACAGAGGUCUCAAGCGUUGUCCGGAUUUAUUGGGCGUAAAGAGCGUGUAGGCGGCCAGAUAGGUCCGUUGUGAAAACUCGAGGCUCAACCUCGAGACGCCGAUGGAAACCAUUUGGCUAGAGUCCGGAAGAGGAGAGUGGAAUUCCUGGUGUAGCGGUGAAAUGCGCAGAUAUCAGGAAGAACACCCGUGGCUAAGGCGGCUCUCUAGUACGGUACUGACGCUGAGACGCGAAAGCGUGGGGAGCGAACAGG
This 253-nucleotide ribosomal RNA is filed under the name uncultured bacterium. RNAcentral describes it as "partial 16S ribosomal RNA". It matches the Rfam family "Bacterial small subunit ribosomal RNA", at positions 524 to 776 of the family's 1533-position model. The record is from RNAcentral.